GCGGAAGUAGCUCAGUCGGUAGAGCGCAACCUUGCCAAGGUUGAGGUCGCGGGUUCGACCCCCGUCUUCCGCUCCA
RNAcentral lists this transfer RNA (76 nucleotides) under bacterium. Its description in RNAcentral is "tRNA-Gly". It matches the Rfam family "tRNA". Rfam says of the family: Transfer RNA (tRNA) molecules are approximately 80 nucleotides in length. Their secondary structure includes four short double-helical elements and three loops (D, anti-codon, and T loops). RNAcentral also lists the same sequence under 1 other name. The record is from RNAcentral.